AAUUUUUCAUUUUGUUUCUAAAUUUUAUUGAGUGAAAGCAAAAAAAUGUCGGAAAUAGCUUAAAAUUUUAGAAUAAGUUUAGAUUUGUUCGAAUUGGUCACCUUUGGCACGAAUUAUGGCCUUCAAACGGCCAAUGAAACCGUCACACCCUGCCCGAAUGAUGCUCUGCGGUAUUUUAGCCCAAUCCCAGCGAAGCGAUUGCUUGAGUUGAUCGACACUUUGGUAUUUUUUUGUGCCAACCUUGCUUUCCAAAAUACUCCAGACACAAUAGUCCAACGGAUUGGUAUCCGGAGAUUUUGGUGGCCAUUGUGCGCUGGAAAUGAAGGGAGAAACCACAUUUUGUAACCAUUCUUGGGUGGCGCGUGCUGACUGAGUGCGAUGGUGCUGAGUCCUGUUGGAAUGUCCAAGGUCUGCGGUCAAAAUGCUUUAAUACACCCUCCAGAAUAUUUUCACGAUAAUAUUCGGCAUUUAUUCUGAUGCCACGAUCGAUUAAUACGAGUUGAGAGCGACCAUCGGCUAUUAUGGAGGCCCACAUCAUCGCCACCGGCGCUUGAGUUCUGAUGGCCAACCGAAGGUCCACAUUUUCAGCUGACCUCUUUGGCAAGUAAACACGAUCAUUUUGUUUGUUUACAAUUUGCUGGACACCGAAUGUUUUUUCAUCGGAGAAAACCAAAAACGGCAGUUCACCACUUUCGGCCAAGCGAAAAAACUCUUUAGCUCUUUUGAGUCUAUUUUCUUUAAGUUGCGGUGUAAGUUCUUGCACUUGUUGGAAUUUCAAUGGCUUUACCUCGGGCUCAUUUUUCAAUAUUUGCCGAAUGGAAUAUUGCGAUAUGUUCAGCUCACGAGCCAUUUUUCGCUCAAAGCGACGCGGGUGUCGAUCAAGUCGCUUCAUUACUUUUCGAAUCAUUUCUGCUGAUGUUGCUGUUUUCUUCCGUCCACUUCCUUGGCGUCGGGCUACGCUACG
Molecule: long non-coding RNA, 964 nt
Organism: Musca vetustissima
Lineage: Eukaryota; Metazoa; Arthropoda; Insecta; Diptera; Muscidae
Exons: 3
Source: RefSeq, a predicted model, not a curated record